GAUGAACGCUAGCUACAGGCUUAACACAUGCAAGUCGAGGGGCAUCAGGAAGAAAGCUUGCUUUCUUUGCUGGCGACCGGCGCACGGGUGAGUAACACGUAUCCAACCUGCCCUUUACUCGGGGAUAGCCUUUCGAAAGAAAGAUUAAUACCCGAUGGCAUAAUGAUUCCGCAUGGUUUCAUUAUUAAAGGAUUCCGGUAAAGGAUGGGGAUGCGUUCCAUUAGGUUGUUGGUGAGGUAACGGCUCACCAAGCCUUCGAUGGAUAGGGGUUCUGAGAGGAAGGUCCCCCACAUUGGAACUGAGACACGGUCCAAACUCCUACGGGAGGCAGCAGUGAGGAAUAUUGGUCAAUGGGCGCUAGCCUGAACCAGCCAAGUAGCGUGAAGGAUGAAGGCUCUAUGGGUCGUAAACUUCUUUUAUAUAAGAAUAAAGUGCAGUAUGUAUACUGUUUUGUAUGUAUUAUAUGAAUAAGGAUCGGCUAACUCCGUGCCAGCAGCCGCGGUAAUACGGAGGAUCCGAGCGUUAUCCGGAUUUAUUGGGUUUAAAGGGAGCGUAGGUGGACUGGUAAGUCAGUUGUGAAAGUUUGCGGCUCAACCGUAAAAUUGCAGUUGAUACUGUCAGUCUUGAGUACAGUAGAGGUGGGCGGAAUUCGUGGUGUAGCGGUGAAAUGCUUAGAUAUCACGAAGAACUCCGAUUGCGAAGGCAGCUCACUGGACUGCGACUGACACUGAUGCUCGAAAGUGUGGGUAUCAAACAGG
Molecule: ribosomal RNA, 758 nt
Filed under: uncultured bacterium
Lineage: Bacteria
Description: bacterial SSU rRNA
Rfam family: Bacterial small subunit ribosomal RNA
Source: RNAcentral